RNAcentral lists this ribosomal RNA (297 nucleotides) under Pseudomonas aeruginosa. RNAcentral's name for it is "partial 16S ribosomal RNA". It matches the Rfam family "Bacterial small subunit ribosomal RNA", at positions 1129 to 1425 of the family's 1533-position model. The record is from RNAcentral. Lineage: Bacteria; Pseudomonadati; Pseudomonadota; Gammaproteobacteria; Pseudomonadales; Pseudomonadaceae.
GGGUGGGCACUCUAAGGAGACUGCCGGUGACAAACCGGAGGAAGGUGGGGAUGACGUCAAGUCGUCAUGGCCCUUACGGCCAGGGCUACACACGUGCUACAAUGGUCGGUACAAAGGGUUGCCAAGCCGCGAGGUGGAGCUAAUCCCAUAAAACGGAUCGUAGUCCGGAUCGCAGUCUGCAACUCGACUGCGUGAAGUCGGAAUCGCUAGUAAUCGUGAAUCAGAAUGUCAAAAUGAAUACGUUCCCGGGCCUUGUACACACCGCCUCUUUCUCCAUGGGAGUGGGUUGCUCCAGAA